UAAACUUAUAAAAGUCAACAAUACAUAGAUACAUAUUGAUUAAAAAAAAAUACAUAUUGAUGUCGUGUCACUCAAUAAUACUACUUUUUUUCUUUAAGAAAAAUGAAAAUUAUAUUCAUGGCUGAGAUAAAUAAGCCAAUAGCACAAGUGUUAAUGACCCCAAAGCAGUAAAAUAAUAGUAGUUAGUAAAGGACAAAAUCAAGCAGUGCCUUUAAAAGCCCUUGUGACUUCUGAACUUAAACUCACAUCAUCAUUAGCUUCUUUCAUUCAUUCACCUUCUUUGAACAAAUUAAGCUCACAAAACUCAUCUGAAAAACAAAAUGGAAGUUUUGCAAAAUGGCUUUACCAAGUUUGCAAUCACUAAACCUCAUGAGAUAACUGUACCUCUUACUAAUGGAACAAAAAAUCUCUUUGCUAAUGGAACAACAAAUCUCCUUAACUUGAUNNNN
Molecule: long non-coding RNA, 449 nt
Filed under: Trifolium pratense (red clover)
Lineage: Eukaryota; Viridiplantae; Streptophyta; Magnoliopsida; Fabales; Fabaceae
Description: long non-coding RNA (TPRA_LNC002036)
Source: RNAcentral